Molecule: transfer RNA, 75 nt
Filed under: Candidatus Aenigmatarchaeota archaeon
Lineage: Archaea; Nanobdellati; Candidatus Aenigmatarchaeota
Description: tRNA-Arg
Rfam family: tRNA
About the family: Transfer RNA (tRNA) molecules are approximately 80 nucleotides in length. Their secondary structure includes four short double-helical elements and three loops (D, anti-codon, and T loops).
Source: RNAcentral
GGGCCAGUAGCCUAGCCUGGAUAAGGCGGCGGCCUUCUAAGCCGCAGAUCGGGGGUUCAAAUCCCUCCUGGCCCA